UCAUCCCAGACAGGAAGGGUGUAGCCUA
RNAcentral lists this non-coding RNA (28 nucleotides) under Homo sapiens (human). Lineage: Eukaryota; Metazoa; Chordata; Mammalia; Primates; Hominidae. The record is from RNAcentral.